RNAcentral lists this ribosomal RNA (251 nucleotides) under uncultured bacterium. RNAcentral's name for it is "partial 16S ribosomal RNA". It matches the Rfam family "Bacterial small subunit ribosomal RNA", at positions 525 to 775 of the family's 1533-position model. The record is from RNAcentral.
ACGUAUGGUGCAAGCGUUAUCCGGAUUUACUGGGUGUAAAGGGAGCGCAGGCGGUACGGCAAGUCUGAUGUGAAAGCCCGGGGCUCAACUCCGGUACUGCAUUGGAAACUGUCGGACUAGAGUGUCGGAGGGGUAAGUGGAAUUCCUAGUGUAGCGGUGAAAUGCGUAGAUAUUAGGAGGAACACCAGUGGCGAAGGCGGCUUACUGGACGAUUACUGACGCUGAGGCUCGAAAGCGUGGGGAGCAAACAG